AAGGUACUAUAUAUACUCUUUAAAACAAUGCCUCCUUGCGUUAUGAUUGUUAUGCAAGUGUAUAUAAACUCAUUUCAGGAGCCAUGAAUCAGCUGGCUAGAAACUUAGCUUGCGAAUGGGCGAGCGACAACAUAAGGACUAACGCUAUUUGUCCAGGGGUAAUCAAAACUCCUUUGAUUAGUGAUGUAAGGCCAAUUUCUCCUUAGUAUUAUGAGAAUAAAAAAGAUUACUUUUGAUUUUAAGUUUUUAAUGUAUAUGAAAAUCCCUCAGCUUCUCAGUGAUGAAGAGAUUAAAAAAGAAGCAGAGCAACGGACACCGAUGGGGCGCGUUGGAGAGGCAAAUGAAGUCUCACCGCUUGUAGCGUUUCUCUGUCUUCCUGCAGCUUCUUAUAUUACUGGUCAGACCAUUUGUGUUGAUGGAGGUCUCACUGUUAAUGGCUUCUCCUAUCAGCCACAGGCUUGAGCUAGGUCUUAUGUUGUGUGUGUUGUCCAAUGAAAACAGUUAAAAAAGAAAAUAGCAUCGGUGCUAGUGCACAAAACAUAUGAGGGUCUUAAUUAAACAUAUAUGAUACUAUACUUUCUUUUUUUUUUUUUUUUUUUUUUUUUUGAAUAAAAUGUAAAAUUUAUUCGAAAAAAUCGUUUGUACAUCAAGUGCAACUGUAGCUUAAAGCUUGUUGGCUUUACAUUUGCUAAAUGGUCAAAAGGAAAACAAGAGCAUUCCUAUCUUGUAUCAAACCAGGUUAUCAUGCAUCUCUCAUAUCUUCCGUCUCCUUUGUCUCUAAUGGUAGAGAGCUUGUUUCGAACCUCCUUGUCAAGCCUUUUUAGUAAAAGGGCUGAUGGAAGUGGUUCUUCGCCAUGUCUUCUGCUAUUCCUUUCUUUCCAUAUCGAGUACACUAGAAUUUGGAAAGCAUAUCUCAACAAAAAUAAACGAUUGUUACCCAAUGUCUUGUCCGUGAGGAGUUUGAGUAUGGUAGUCCAAUCCGUAGAGUAGUGUCUAGUUAGCAGCUUUGAGGUGAGCCCUGACCAGACUUCUCUUGAGUAUCGACAUGUGAAGAAUAGGUGAUUCCUAGUUUCCGUUUGCUCUUGGCAGAACACACAUGAGAGAUUAACCCCAGCAUUCCAACUCAUCAUUCUGUCUCCCGUUGAUAAUCGGUUCUUUGUUGCUAGCCAAGUUAUGAAGGAGUAUUUUGGGGUGGCGUGUGAGAACCAUAUACCCUGAUACCAUUCAUUACGUGGCUUUUGUUCACGAGUGUCAGCCCAUGUUUCUUUGGUGCUGAAGCUAGGCUUGAACCGGCCUCCUUUUCCUUUCCAAAGGACCACAUCCUCUGUUUCUACAAGUCCCUUAGUGCGCAGCUCUUCUAACUGUGCUUCCAUUUGGUUAAGAUGAUCAGCUCGGUGCCUCCUUCGUCUAUGUGUUAAUGCUUCUGCUACAGUGGCAUGUAUAUCAAUUCCCAUGUCAAUGCAGCCCCGUGUUCCCGAAAUCGCAAUCAACGGGCCUAGAGGUGACCAGUUAUCAUGCCAAAAGGAGACGCCCUUUCCAUUGCGGAUCUCAUACUGUGUAAAACCGGAAGCUAAGUGACGAUACUUUAGUAGCUUCCUCCACAUCCAAGACCCUAACGUUGAUGUGUCUCUUAGCGACCAGAAUGAACCCUUACGUAUCACAUAUUGCCUUAGCCAUUGUACCCACAGCGAGCUUGAUGACAACAGUCUCCAGAUAAGUUUUAGGCAACAAACCUUGUUUGCUUCUGUUAAGGAACGGAGCCCCAGCCCUCCCUCUUCCUUUGGCAUACAUACAUCGUUCCAUGAUACUUUAGCUUUUUUUCUAUUUAACUCGGGGCCGGACCAAAGAAAAGCAGAGCACAAGCCAUCUAUCUCUUUGAUGCAUGCAUUCGGUAGCCUAAAAGCGGACAUCCAAAAGUUUGUGAGACUAUGGAUCACUGAGCUUAUGAGUUGUAAACGCCCUGCGAAUGAAAGGUGUCUAGCCGUCCAGCAACUAAUUCGUUCUCGGAUUCUUUCAAUGAGAGGGAUAUAGUCACUUGUCGUCAUUCUUUUGGUUAAUAGUGGUAAGCCAAGAUAACGAACUGGUAGGGUACCUGAUUCAAAAGGAAAGGAGUAUAGAAUUAAUUCCUUGUCACUGUCUCUGACUCCCGCCAUAUAUAAUGUUGACUUCUCAAGACUGAUUUUUAAUCCAGAGAAUUUUGCAAAUUUAUCAAAGGUCUGCAAAACGCUUUCAAUAGAUCUUUUUUUUCCAUCUGUGAAUAUCAAUAGAUCGUCUGCGAAACACAAAUGUGUGAGCUUCAGAUUUUGACAUCGAGGAUGGUAGCCUAUGAUUCUCUCCAAGGCAGCGUUGUCAAGCAUUGUGGACAGAACUUGCAUACAGAUUACAAAGAGGUAGGGAGAUAAUGAGCAUCCUUGUCGAAGACCCCUCUCGCUUCAAAACAGACCAGACAAUUCACCAUUAACCUGUACUGAGAAGGAGGCGGUGGUAAUACAGAGCUCAAUCCAUUUUAUGAAUCGUGGUGGAAAAUUGAGGGCUGAUAGUGUAGUUAAGAGAAACGGCCACUGAACCGAAUCUAACGCUUUUGAUAUAUCAAUCUUUAUUGCACUCCGGGAAGAGAUCGUGUCUUUGUGGUAGUCUUUAACUAUUUCUGAUGCCAAUAAUACAUUUUCCAUCAAAAGACGAUCUUUAACGAAAGCCGACUGGUUUGGAGAUAUGAACUCCGGGAGCAGUCUUUUGAGUCUAUUUGCUAUAAUCUUUGAUAUGACCUUGUAUAUCACGUUGCAGCAAGAAAUUGGCCUAUAAUCCUUCAUCUCCGUGGCCUCUUUCUUUUUUGGUAUGAGCGCUAAGAUUGUAGUGUUUACUCCCUUAGGUAUAAAGCCAUAUAAAAAGAAAGAUUGUACUGCAACUUCAAAAUCUUUCUUUACUAUUGGCCAUGCUUCUUUUAAAAACAUCACAGUAUAUCCAUCCGGCCCCGGACUUUUAUCCCUUGGCAUGGAGAAUAAUACUUCCCUGAUUUCCUCUAUAGAUACAUCGCUUUCAAGCUGCAUCCCAUCUGCUUCGGAACAUCUGUAUUUCACUAAAUCUCGUAUCUCUUCCUCUGAUAUACCCUGGUAGUGAGCUGGUUUGUGAGCCAAAAAAUCAUGGAAAAAUCUUUCAGCCUCUUUCUUGAUCUCUUCUUGAGUGUUGACUAUAGUACCAUCAGGGCAUUUGAUUUCUUUAAUCGCAUUACGAACUUCCCUAACCUUUGCAGCCUUGUGAAACACCUUAUUAUUACCAUCUCCAACUUUCAACCAGUGAAGUUUUGAUUUUUGUUUCAGCACUUUCUCCUCCAAGUCCGACAAAUGCAACCAACGACUGUGGGCUGCAGCUUCUGCUUGCAUUGUCGUAUUUGUUGGAUUUUGCAUCCAAGAAAAACAUGUUACUGACACCAAUUUCCCAUUAUUUAUUUUGCUUAUGCAGAGGUAUUAUAUAUAUGUAAUCUCCAAGUGAAUCAUGAGAAUGUUCUUAGACUUCUCUACUAUCUUAGAGAUUAGUUCUCGUCUAAAUCCUAACUAAGAUAAAAAUUAGCAUAGUUGUUAAAUCCAAGACGUGCCAUACCAAAAGAACUAGCUGGUUUUGUUAUUAGGAAUCUCACAUUUAUAUAUCAAGAGAGCAACGGCCUAAUCCUCAGAAUCUCUCCCUUCUUGCUUCUUCGUUUAGAGUGUUCCAAACUCAGUAUUACUACUCUCCUGUAAUAUGCUCUGUUCUAAGUCUUUUUGUUGGCGUAACUCAUGUUAGGAGGCACCAUAUAUUUCGGCUGCAGGUUCCAUCGUUUUGGAAUGCAGUAUUUUUAUAAAAAGGUAUUUGAUAUAUAAAAAAAAGAUGUGAUAGAGAGAUUUCUUUCUUCUUUAGUGGAUUUCAGAGGGCAAAACGCAAAAACCAAUUGGCUUUGGCUCAUGGGGUUCUUCCCGUUAGAGAGGAUCAUAUAUAUUCCCAAUUGUAAAGUCGAUGAACCCUAUUGGGUCUAGGGUUAUGAUUCCACAAGAAGAUCCACAAGCUUCUUCUACUCCAAAGCCAAUUGGCAAACAAUAGCAUAACUCAGGCUUCUUAUAUACCAGAUUAAAUUCUUAUAUGUUUCCGAUGUGGGACUCAUUAAGGUUAAUUUUCUUGCCGAUAUUAUUUUUACACGUUCACGUAACUUAAACCUCAAGUAAUUUGUAUUGCCCUAAGGUGAGACCAAAACCUUUAGUGGGCUUAUGGGCCAAAAUAAGCCCGCUUGAUAAGAGAAGCUUCCGCUAAAAACUAGGUCUGGGCUUUCGGUUAACUGUUCGGUUAUCGGUUGGGUCCAUUCGGUUUCGGUUCUUUCGGUUCUAAAAUUUAGUAUCCAUUCGAAUAUUUUGAAAUUUCGGUUCGGUUUCGGUUCGGUUCCGGUUCUUUCGGUUUUAAAAUUUAAGGGGGUUAUUGGAUCAUUGAUUUGAAUGGAUUUGGAAAUCCAAGUAAAAUUAUGUGUUAUUCAAUCAUUGAUUUUAAAUUUUUUAUAAAAAUCAUGUGUUAUUGGUUCUAUGAUUUACAAAUACUUUUUAAAAUCACCCCAUAUUCAAUAUUGAAGAUUUGAGUAUGGAUUUGACUUCAUAUUGGAUUUGAAUGGAAUUGAAUAUAUGUUUUACUUAUAAAUAGAGUGAUUGAAAUCCUUGGGUUCCACCUAGUUAUUUGGGUGGAUUUGGAAGAAAACAAUAUUAGCAGUUUCUAUUUUCCUUGAUUUUUUAAUUAUCAUGUCAUUUACUUGUAAGAAAAGUUUUACGAGUUAUAUUUUUUGUGUCACAGGUGUACAUCAUCAAACAUGGAUCAAGCCCAUCAUGGAGAUCAAGAAGUCCUUGAAGAAAGAGAAAGAAAUGCAUUACAUGAUGACGAGUUGGAUGCUGAUAUUAUUUUGUUGGUGCUAUUUGGAAGACACCAUUCGGUUAUUUUGCUUAGAAUAUUUUCGGAUAUCUCGGUUAUUUUUGAGUAUUUUCGGAUAUUUUUGGAUAUAUUUCGGUUAUUUUCGAGUAUUUUUACUACUUUUAUAAAAUUUUCAAGUAUUUUUGAUUAUUUGAUCUAUAAAUAACUAAUUAUUUUGAAAAUAUAAUUGUAUUUCGGGUAUUUCGGUUACCCGAAAGAUUUCGAUUCGGUACCGAUUCGGUUACGGUUAUUUCGGUUAUAAAAUUUAGUAUCCAUUCGGUUAUUUUCAAAUGUUCGGUUCGGUUAUUUUUGCUUCGGUUUCGGUUCGGUACAUUCGAUUCGGUUUAUUUGCCCAGGCCUACUAAAAACCCAUGCACGUAGCUUUCUCUGUUUCUCCACUUCGUUGGAUCAAAUUCAAUAGAAUGAAACUGAUCCUGAAGAUUUCUUGGUGAAUCCUAAUUAAACGAAUUGAUUUUAGAACUAUGAAUGGAGCUACGCAAUAAUAUAGUUGUCUUGAUUAAUAUUACAAUAUACAAAAAAAUGAUUUGAAAUAGAAAGCUUGAUCAGUUGGCAACUUUGGAUUUUUAGGUCAAGCCUUAAAACUACAUUCAUUUUGGGACUAAGAAACCUAACCAGAAGAUGUUUCUGGUAAGAGACUAAGAGUAAGCCUAGCAGUAACAGAACAGACGAAAGCAGAGAAGAGCACAACUUGGACUCAAAUGAGAAGAUGGACUUCGAAACUCAUCGCCUAUCAUGCCCAAAGACAGAAUCAUGUGGCAUUACACCAUGCUUUAAAUAUUAAAAUCCCUAUGCAAUGAUGACUCAAUGGACAUCUUCUCUCUCUUACUACUACAUAAAUUCUCAUCCACACAUACAAACAUACUCAAUAUUUCACACUUAUCUGAUCCCAUACUCAAUAAUUCAUUUCUAUAUAUAUAAUAUGUGGCAUUUCUGGUCCCUGCUAGUAACAACCAAGAAAAAUGGAUAAAAGAUGGAGUCUUCAAUGUAUGACUGCUCUUGUCACCGGUGCAGCCAGCGGAAUCGGGUUCGUCUUACUUCUCUGUUCUCUAUAUCAUAUUUUUAGCUCAUUGUUCUGCUUAUAUUUCACAUCCUAAUUUUCAAGAAAGUAAUUUAUGUUUCUGAAAAUGUUUUAGAUAUGCCAUAGUAGAGGAGUCAGCUGGUUUUGGAGCUAGAAUCCAUGUAUGCGACAUCUCUGAAACUCUUCUCAAUCAAAGUUUAAGUGAAUGGGAAAAGAAAGGGUUUCAAGUGAGUGGUUCAGUCUGUGAUGUAACUUCUCGUCCCGAUAGAGAAAAACUGAUGCAAACCGUUUCCUCGCUGUUUGAUGGCAAACUCAACAUUCUUGUAAGUAAACGAUCUUAUAGAAAUGCCAAGCAUAGUUGUUUAAAUGGAGCUCCUUAAAAUAAAUCUUAAUAUAUAGGUAAACAAUGUUGGUGUACUUCGCGGGAAGCCAACAACGGAAUAUGUGGCAGAUGAUUUCUCUUUUCACAUCUCAACAAAUUUGGAAGCUGCUUUCCAUUUUAGCCAGCUUUCACAUCCUCUCUUAAAGGCUUCAGGAUUUGGAAGCAUCGUCUUUAUGUCCUCUGUCACAGGGAUUGUAUCAGUUGAAUGUGGAUCCAUUUAUGGUCUAACGAAAGGUAACCAAGUUGCUACUAGAGGAAGUUUAUUGCAAGACUGACUAGUCAAGAAGUAGUUUUCAAUUUUUGUUUUUUUUUUUCUGUUGAUUUCUUUUAUAGGAGCUUUGAAUCAGUUAACUAGAAAUUUGGCAUGUGAAUGGGCAAAAGAUGGCAUAAGAGCCAAUGCUGUUGCACCUAAUGUUGUCAAGACUCCUCUGUCUCAAUCUGUAAUAAAAAAAAGACAACAUUUACUCUUUUUUUUAUGUGAAUGUAAUUAAUCUCAAUUCCUCUAAUUAUUUCUUAAUUGUGUGUUCUUGAAGUAUCUCGAGGACGUCGGUUUCAAGGAGGCAUUAUUUGGUAGAACUCCACUUGGUUGCGCUGGAGAGCCGAAUGAAGUUGCAUCACUAGUGGUCUUCUUGUGUCUACCUGCAGCUUCUUAUAUUACUGGUCAAACCAUUUGUGUUGAUGGAGGCCUCACGGUUAAUGGUUUCUCCUAUCAACCACAG
RNAcentral lists this long non-coding RNA (7057 nucleotides) under Arabidopsis lyrata. RNAcentral's name for it is "long non-coding RNA (ALYR_LNC002060)". The record is from RNAcentral. Lineage: Eukaryota; Viridiplantae; Streptophyta; Magnoliopsida; Brassicales; Brassicaceae.